RNAcentral lists this ribosomal RNA (497 nucleotides) under uncultured bacterium. RNAcentral's name for it is "partial 16S ribosomal RNA". It matches the Rfam family "Bacterial small subunit ribosomal RNA", at positions 28 to 507 of the family's 1533-position model. The record is from RNAcentral.
GAUGAACGCUGGCGGCGUGCCUAAUACAUGCAAGUCGAGCGAACAGACGAGGAGCUUGCUCCUCUGACGUUAGCGGCGGACGGGUGAGUAACACGUGGAUAACCUACCUAUAAGACUGGGAUAACUUCGGGAAACCGGAGCUAAUACCGGAUAAUAUAUUGAACCGCAUGGUUCAAUAGUGAAAGACGGUUUUGCUGUCACUUAUAGAUGGAUCCGCGCCGCAUUAGCUAGUUGGUAAGGUAACGGCUUACCAAGGCAACGAUGCGUAGCCGACCUGAGAGGGUGAUCGGCCACACUGGAACUGAGACACGGUCCAGACUCCUACGGGAGGCAGCAGUAGGGAAUCUUCCGCAAUGGGCGAAAGCCUGACGGAGCAACUCCGCGUGAGUGAUGAAGGUCUUCGGAUCGUAAAACUCUGUUAUUAGGGAAGAACAAAUGUGUAAGUAACUAUGCACGUCUUGACGGUACCUAAUCAGAAAGCCACGGCUAACUACGUG